UUUUCCUACGGGGCGCAGCAGUGGGGAAUAUUGCACAAUGGGGGAAACCCUGAUGCAGCGACGCCGCGUGAGUGAAGAAGUAUUUCGGUAUGUAAAGCUCUAUCAGCAGGAACGAGACAAGACGGUACCUGACUAAGAAGCCCCGGCUAACUACGUGCCAGCAGCCGCGGUAAUACGUAUGGGGCAAGCGUUAUCCGGAUUUACUGGGUGUAAAGGGAGCGUAGGCGGCCUGGCAAGCCUGAUGUGAAAUACCGGGGCCCAACCCCGGGGCUGCAUUGGGAACUGCCAGGCUGGAGUGCCGGAGG
This 305-nucleotide ribosomal RNA is filed under the name uncultured bacterium. RNAcentral's name for it is "bacterial SSU rRNA". It matches the Rfam family "Bacterial small subunit ribosomal RNA", at positions 334 to 655 of the family's 1533-position model. The record is from RNAcentral.